RNAcentral lists this ribosomal RNA (425 nucleotides) under uncultured bacterium. Its description in RNAcentral is "partial 16S ribosomal RNA". It matches the Rfam family "Bacterial small subunit ribosomal RNA", at positions 354 to 796 of the family's 1533-position model. The record is from RNAcentral.
GUUAGGAAUAUUGGACAAUGGGCGAAAGCCUGAUCCAGCCAUGCCGCGUGAACGAUGAAGGCCUUCGGGUUGUAAAGUUCUUUAGCCGAUGAUUAUAAUGACUGUAGUCGGAAAAUAAGCCCCGGCUAACUUCGUGCCAGCAGCCGCGGUAAUACGAAGGGGGCGAGCGUUAUUCGGAAUCACUGGGCGUAAAGCGUGCGUAGGCGGCUUUGCAAGUUGGGAGUGAAAGCCCAGGGCUCAACCCUGGAAUUGCUCUCAAAACUGCAAGGCUCGAAUUCGGGAGAGGAUAGCGGAAUUGUCAGUGUAGCAGUGAAAUGCGUAGAUAUUGACAGGAACACCAGUGGCGUAAGCGGCUAUCUGGACCGAUAUUGACGCUGAGGCACGAAAGCGUGGGGAUCAAACAGGAUUAGAAACCCUGGUAGUCC